GCGUCAAGUGCUUCCGCGCGCGCGAGGAGUACGACGACCGCUGUUUCAUC
RNAcentral lists this transfer RNA (50 nucleotides) under uncultured eukaryote. RNAcentral describes it as "partial Selenocysteine transfer RNA". The record is from RNAcentral.